UGAUUACCAGGGCAGUGUGAGGAGGAUUACUGGGGGUGCCUGCAAGGAAUCACACCGCGGGAGGAGGAGAGACUAUGGCUGGAGACUGAUGGACAGACCCCUUGAAGUGCUGAGACACCAUGAUGGAUCGUAAGAUCAUCAUCUGGGGAUGUAUUCUCGGAUACAUAGGGCGGCUCACAGAUGGGUCAUAAAAUCAUCAUCCGAAAAUGGAUUCUCAGACACAUGAAGUAUUUGUAAAAAUGACGUAUCAUACUAUAUGAAUAUUGGAAUAAAUUAUGUUAUUCACA
Long non-coding RNA from Pseudophryne corroboree (corroboree frog), 287 nucleotides. RefSeq lists it as uncharacterized. NCBI's taxonomy places the organism in Eukaryota, Metazoa, Chordata, Amphibia, Anura, Myobatrachidae. The record is from RefSeq and is a predicted model, not a curated record. The transcript has 3 exons.